UAUUUCUUUUACAUAUUAGACGCUUUCAUCUGACAUCAUUAUUUAAAUAAUUAUAAAAACAAAAGGUCCAUGGAAUUUUCCCUGUAAUGAAAUUUCUUUCUUUUUGUUUGUUAAAAUUAAUUUUGUCAAUUUAAAUGGUUAAUUUGUCUAAUAUUUUGGCCUCAAAAAGACUGAAUAUUUUCUGAGUUGUGAGUAGAAAUUCCCGACGUUACCAUUUUGGCUCAAAAUUGGGAGUGUUGCACCCCAGCACCUCCACCUCGUAUAUACCUAUGUGUUCAAAGGUUCUUUAUACUAUUUCAAAUCAUAGCUACAAGCGCAUUGAAAAGCAGCAUUUCUACCUAACAUUGCCAUGUCGUUUCUUAAAAAUUUCUUUUCAUUGUGGACAGGGGGUUGGUUAUCGUUCAGCUGUUACUGCGUGUAUUUAUUCCCAGGUUGCUCAAAACAAAUGUGCGACUCGUUGGUAAUGGCUGUGGGCUCAUACAUAAAUUUACGUGGCCAAAUGUCAUCCGUACUUUAUGCUCAAAUGUGUGGGAUAUAUGCCUUAUAUUUAAUGGUAAACUUUGGAAUUGCUUUUGUUUUCUUUCAUAUUUAUUAUGGCCCAAGCUCAAAGAAUGAAGCUAUAUCUGCUGCAGGGUAAAAAACAUAGAAUAGAGAAUACAUAGAAGGGCAACUCGCGGGUGAAACGCGUAGCAUUUUUUUUGUGCGCAUACGUUAAGUCCGCCAUUACUCUGGCCAGUAACUUGGCGCUGGCGUACUAUAAAAUUAUAUUGGAAAAGUGCGAUUUCGGAAUAUUAGUCGCCUCGUACGUAAAAGAUUUUGGAAGAUCAUAAAAGGUUGUGACAAAAAAUGAUAGAAACAAGUUGCUAGCCAAGUGCUUGCUUGAUUCUAAAGUGAGGAUUGUGUUGCAAGUGACUUGUACUGUGUAUUAUUUUCCGAAGCCCAACAGUGCUUGUAUUUUUAACAAUGAUGUUAUUUAAUUUUUAAAUGAAAUAUAUAGACUGGUUUUAUGUAUUCUAUAUUCUGUACACUCUACUGUAUAACAUACACACAUUUUAAAUUUAAACAGUUUUGUGAUUGUUAAAGCGUUUUAUACACAGUAUUGAUCAUCAAGGGCAAAGACCUGUUUUGGAGCUGUUAUCAGUGUAAAAUGAAUUAAUUAAAGUAAAAUUUUUAUUUUUUUUUAUAUUUUUACAACUCA
This is a long non-coding RNA of Xenia sp. Carnegie-2017, 1198 nucleotides long. RefSeq lists it as uncharacterized. The record is from RefSeq and is a predicted model, not a curated record. Lineage: Eukaryota; Metazoa; Cnidaria; Anthozoa; Malacalcyonacea; Xeniidae. The transcript has 2 exons.